UUUCCGGUUGAUCCUGCCGGAGGCCACUGCUAUCGGAGUCCGACUAAGCCAUGCGAGUCGAGGGGCUCUCUUUUGAGAGCACCGGCGAACGGCUCAGUAACACGUGGCUAACCUACCCUCGGGUGGGGGAUAACCUCGGGAAACUGAGGCUAAUCCCCCAUAGGUCUAGGUUGCUGGAAUGCGCCUAGGCCGAAAGCUCCGGCGCCCGAGGAUGGGGCUGCGGCCUAUCAGGUUGUAGUGGGGGUAACGGCCCCACUAGCCUACGACGGGUACGGGCUGUGGGAGCAGGAGCCCGGAGAUGGACCCUGAGACAAGGGUCCAGGCCCUACGGGGCGCAGCAGGCGCGAAACCUCCGCAAUGCGCGCAAGCGCGACGGGGGGACUCCGAGUGCCCUGGCCUUUGGUCAGGGCUUUUCCGGAGUCUAAAAAGCUCCGGGAAUAAGGGCUGGGCAAGACGGGUGCCAGCCGCCGCGGUAAUACCCGCAGCUCGAGUGGUGGCCACUAUUAUUGGGCCUAAAACGUCCGUAGCCGGCCUGGUAAAUGCCCGGGUAAAUCGUGAGGCUCGACCUCACGAAUUCCGGGUAGACUGCCAGGCUUGGGACCGGGAGAGGCCGGAGGUACUCCAGGGGUAGGGGUGAAAUCCUGUAAUCCCUGGGGGACCACCUGUGGCGAAGGCGUCCGGCCAGAACGGGUCCGACGGUGAGGGACGAAGCCCAGGGGCGCAAACCGGAUUAGAUACCCGGGUAGUCCUGGGUGUAAACGCUGCCCGCUUGAUGUUGGGCAAGCUUCGGGCUUGCCCAGUGUCGGAGCGAAGGCGUUAAGCGGGCUGCCUGGGGAGUACGGCCGCAAGGCUGAAACUUAAAGGAAUUGGCGGGGGAGCACUGCAACGGGUGGAGCGUGCGGUUUAAUUGGAUUCAACGCCGGGA
This 925-nucleotide ribosomal RNA is filed under the name uncultured archaeon. RNAcentral's name for it is "bacterial SSU rRNA". It matches the Rfam family "Archaeal small subunit ribosomal RNA", at positions 1 to 923 of the family's 1478-position model. The record is from RNAcentral.